Molecule: ribosomal RNA, 492 nt
Filed under: uncultured bacterium
Lineage: Bacteria
Description: partial 16S ribosomal RNA
Rfam family: Bacterial small subunit ribosomal RNA
Source: RNAcentral
AGUGAGCGCUGGCGGUAGGCCUAACACAUGCAAGUCGAACGGCAGCACAGUAAGAGCUUGCUCUUACGGGUGGCGAGUGGCGGACGGGUGAGGAAUACAUCGGAAUCUACUUUUUCGUGGGGGAUAACGUAGGGAAACUUACGCUAAUACCGCAUACAACCUACGGGUGAAAGCAGGGGAUCUUCGGACCUUGCGCGAUUGAAUGAGCCGAUGUCGGAUUAGCUAGUUGGCGGGGUAAAGGCCCACCAAGGCGACGAUCCGUAGCUGGUCUGAGAGGAUGAUCAGCCACACUGGAACUGAGACACGGUCCAGACUCCUACGGGAGGCAGCAGUGGGGAAUAUUGGACAAUGGGCGCAAGCCUGAUCCAGCCAUACCGCGUGGGUGAAGAAGGCCUUCGGGUUGUAAAGCCCUUUUGUUGGGAAAGAAAAGCAGCAGGUUAAUACCCCGCUGUUCUGACGGUACCCAAAGAAUAAGCACCGGCUAACUUCGUG